This 382-nucleotide unclassified non-coding RNA is filed under the name soil metagenome. RNAcentral's name for it is "partial contains 5.8S ribosomal RNA, internal transcribed spacer 2, and large subunit ribosomal RNA". The stretch from base 1 to 120 matches the Rfam family "5.8S ribosomal RNA", at positions 35 to 154 of the family's 154-position model. The record is from RNAcentral.
GAUGAAGAACGUAGCGAAAUGCGAUAAGUAAUGUGAAUUGCAGAAUUCAGUGAAUCAUCGAAUCUUUGAACGCUCCUUGCACCCUUUGGCAUUCCGAAGGGUAUGCUCGUUUGAGUGUCAUUGUACUCUCACACUUCUGAUCCUUUGGAUUGGGAGCGGUGGACUUGGGUGUUGCUGCUUUACUGUGGCUCACCUCAAAUGCAUUCGUGCAACUCUUGGUUGGACAUAGUACGGCGUGAUAAGUAUCUUCGCCGGCACCUCGCAAGAGGGUGGCUGAUCAGGAGCUCUGUGCUUUCCAACUGUCUUCAGACAACAACUGACAACUUGACCUCAAAUCGAGUAGGACCACCCGCUGAACUUAAGCAUAUCAAUAAGCGGAGGA